CCUCCCUUGAGACAAAUUUGUGCGAGUUGCCUCCCUCUCUCCCUCCCCCCUCUCUCUCUGACAUCAAGCGCGAGCGCCCCAAAUCACAUGGUCCGUCGGCGGCUCGCCGCGAUUGCGGCUACCUAGCGACACGGCGCUGCAUCUCUGGGGAUAUCAAUGCCGCGGUUGAUCAGGAGCCAGCCAUCGUCUUUUUAUUGCUAAAGGAUCCACGGUAACCAUGGAGUCAAUGGCAAGUGCUGCUCUAAGUAUUGGGUCAACUACGGCAAUGGGAGUUGAAGAUGAUGCCAGCAGCUCUGCCGUGGGCAUGAUCCAGUUGGUGGGAAAUGAUGAAAAUACCUACAACAUGCCAAAAAGAACUACCAGUCUUCCGUUUUGUG
Long non-coding RNA from Triticum dicoccoides, 377 nucleotides. RefSeq lists it as uncharacterized. The record is from RefSeq and is a predicted model, not a curated record. Lineage: Eukaryota; Viridiplantae; Streptophyta; Magnoliopsida; Poales; Poaceae. The transcript is spliced from 3 exons.